CUUCACCGACCCCAGCCACAGCGGGUCGCCCUCGCCGCGGUCCUGACCGUAGGUGGCCAGCAGCGCCUGCGCCUC
This 75-nucleotide antisense RNA is filed under the name Streptomyces paromomycinus. RNAcentral describes it as "ASpks TB sRNA". It matches the Rfam family "ASpks TB sRNA". Lineage: Bacteria; Bacillati; Actinomycetota; Actinomycetes; Kitasatosporales; Streptomycetaceae. The record is from RNAcentral.